This 253-nucleotide ribosomal RNA is filed under the name uncultured bacterium. RNAcentral describes it as "partial 16S ribosomal RNA". It matches the Rfam family "Bacterial small subunit ribosomal RNA", at positions 524 to 776 of the family's 1533-position model. The record is from RNAcentral.
UACGUAUGUGGCGAGCGUUACUCGGAAUCACUGGGCGUAAAGGGUACGUAGGCGGUUUGAUAAGUCUGGAGUGAAAUGUCGGGGCUCAACCCCGGAUCUGCUUUGGAUACUGUCAGACUUGAGUAUUGGAGGGGAAGAUGGAAUUCCUGGUGUAGCGGUGGAAUGCGUAGAUAUCAGGAAGAACACCGGUGGCGAAGGCGGUCUUCUGGCCAAAUACUGACGCUGAGGUACGAAAGCGUGGGGAGCAAACAGG